This 555-nucleotide long non-coding RNA is filed under the name Callithrix jacchus (white-tufted-ear marmoset). Its description in RNAcentral is "lncRNA (ENSCJAG00000076680.1)". The record is from RNAcentral. Lineage: Eukaryota; Metazoa; Chordata; Mammalia; Primates; Cebidae.
AUACAGAGUUGGGUAAUACACUCUACGGUGGAGGCCGCGGGACUCUCACGUACUGCUGGUGAGAGUGUAAAUCGGCACAACCCCUGCAGAGAGAAACUGAGUGACAGUUACAAAACUACAAAUCCACAUGCCCUCUGACCAGUCAUUCAUCUCCUGGGAAUUUGUGCUGCCGAGCCACUUUUAAGAUGACAUGCGUCUGAGAUAAUUCAUGGCAGCUUUGCUGGUAAUGGCAAACACUUGGAAAGAAACCGAGAUGUACAUCAAGAAAGCAUGAGUUAAAUAAAGCACGGUAGAUCCAAACAACUACUAUGUGGCUAUAAAAAGGAAUGAGGACGUGCUCUGUGUACUGAUGGGGACAGAAGUUUCAGGACAUUUUGUAAGGUGACUGAAAAACAAGACAGAUGCUUCCAGAGUCAAUCACUGAGCAGUGGAUCUACGACAAACCAUCCCUUCUCUUCGGUCACUGAGAUUUCCACAGUUCGGCUGCUGACUUGCCUGCAAGCCCUGCCAUCGACUGAGACCCAGCUCCGCCAUUCUUGGCACAUAGCCCGGUAA